AUUGAACGCUGGCGGCAGGCCUAACACAUGCCAGUCGAACGGUAGCACAGAGAGCUUGCUCUCGGGUGACGAGUGGCGGACGGGUGAGUAAUGUCUGGGAAACUGCCCGAUGGAGGGGGAUAACUACUGGAAACGGUAGCUAAUACCGCAUAAUGUCGCAAGACCAAAGAGGGGGACUUUCGGGCCUCUUGCCAUCGGAUGUGCCCAGAUGGGAUUAGCUAGUUGGUGAGGUAAUGGCUCACCAAGGCGACGAUCCCUAGCUGGUCUGAGAGGAUGACCAGCCACACUGGAACUGAGACACGGUCCAGACUCCUACGGGAGGCAGCAGUGGGGAAUAUUGCACAAUGGGCGCAAGCCUGAUGCAGCCAUGCCGCGUGUAUGAAGAAGGCCUUCGGGUUGUAAAGUACUUUCAGCGGGGAGGAAGGCAAUGCGGUUAAUAACCGUGUUGAUUGACGUUACCCGCAGAAGAAGCACCGGCUAACUCCGUG
Molecule: ribosomal RNA, 488 nt
Filed under: uncultured bacterium
Lineage: Bacteria
Description: partial 16S ribosomal RNA
Rfam family: Bacterial small subunit ribosomal RNA
Source: RNAcentral